Molecule: ribosomal RNA, 449 nt
Filed under: uncultured bacterium
Lineage: Bacteria
Description: bacterial SSU rRNA
Rfam family: Bacterial small subunit ribosomal RNA
Source: RNAcentral
UAGGGAAUCUUCGGCAAUGGACGAAAGUCUGACCGAGCAACGCCGCGUGAGCGAUGAAGGCCUUCGGGUCGUAAAGCUCUGUUGUCAGAGAAGAACAAGUACCGGAGUAACUGCCGGUACCUUGACGGUACCUGACCAGAAAGCCACGGCUAACUACGUGCCAGCAGCCGCGGUAAUACGUAGGUGGCAAGCGUUAUCCGGAAUUAUUGGGCGUAAAGCGCGCGCAGGCGGUUCUUUAAGUCUGAUGUGAAAGCCCACGGCUCAACCGUGGAGGGUCAUUGGAAACUGGGGAACUUGAGUGCAGGAGAGAAAAGUGGAAUUCCACGUGUAGCGGUGAAAUGCGUAGAGAUGUGGAGGAACACCAGUGGCGAAGGCGGCUUUUUGGCCUGUAACUGACGCUGAGGCGCGAAAGCGUGGGGAGCAAACAGGAUUAGAUACCCGUGUAGUCC